GACGAACGCUGGCGGCGUGCUUAACACAUGCAAGUCGAACGGUGAUGCUCCAGCUUGCUGGAGUGGAUCAGUGGCGAACGGGUGAGUAACACGUGAGCAACCUGCCCCAGACUCUGGAAUAAGCGCUGGAAACGGCGUCUAAUACUGGAUACGAAACUGGCCCGCAUGGGCAUGGUUUGGAAAGUUUUUCGGUUUGGGAUGGGCUCGCGGCCUAUCAGCUUGUUGGUGAGGUAAUGGCUCACCAAGGCGACGACGGGUAGCCGGCCUGAGAGGGCGACCGGCCACACUGGGACUGAGACACGGCCCAGACUCCUACGGGAGGCAGCAGUAGGGAAUAUUGCACAAUGGGCGAAAGCCUGAUGCAGCGACGCCGCGUGAGGGAUGACGGCCUUCGGGUUGUAAACCUCUUUCAGCAGGGAAGAAGCGAAAGUGACGGUACCUGCAGAAGAAGCACCGGCUAACUACGUG
RNAcentral lists this ribosomal RNA (468 nucleotides) under uncultured bacterium. RNAcentral describes it as "partial 16S ribosomal RNA". It matches the Rfam family "Bacterial small subunit ribosomal RNA", at positions 28 to 507 of the family's 1533-position model. The record is from RNAcentral.